Molecule: ribosomal RNA, 429 nt
Filed under: Chloroflexota bacterium
Lineage: Bacteria; Bacillati; Chloroflexota
Description: Chloroflexi bacterium partial 16S ribosomal RNA
Rfam family: Bacterial small subunit ribosomal RNA
Source: RNAcentral
UGGGGAAUAUUGCACAAUGGUCGCAAGCCUGAUGCAGCCAUGCCGCGUGUAUGAAGAAGGCCUUCGGGUUGUAAAGUACUUUCAGUCGGGAGGAAGGUGGUAAGGUUAAUAACCUUGGCAAUUGACGUUACCGACAGAAGAAGCACCGGCUAACUCCGUGCCAGCAGCCGCGGUAAUACGGAGGGUGCAAGCGUUAAUCGGAAUUACUGGGCGUAAAGCGCACGCAGGCGGUUGAUUGAGUCAGAUGUGAAAUCCCCGGGCUUAACCCGGGAAUUGCAUCUGAUACUGGUCAGCUAGAGUCUUGUAGAGGGGGGUAGAAUUCCAUGUGUAGCGGUGAAAUGCGUAGAGAUGUGGAGGAAUACCGGUGGCGAAGGCGGCCCCCUGGACAAAGACUGACGCUCAGGUGCGAAAGCGUGGGGAGCAAACAGG